AGUGAACGCUGGCGGUAGGCCUAACACAUGCAAGUCGAACGGCAGCACAGUAAGAGCUUGCUCUUACGGGUGGCGAGUGGCGGACGGGUGAGGAAUACAUCGGAAUCUACUUUUUCGUGGGGGAUAACGUAGGGAAACUUACGCUAAUACCGCAUACGACCUACGGGUGAAAGCAGGGGAUCUUCGGACCUUGCGCGAUUGAAGGAGCCGAUGUCGGAUUAGCUAGUUGGCGGGGUAAAGGCCCACCAAGGCGACGAUCCGUAGCUGGUCUGAGAGGAUGUCCAGCUACACUGCAGCUUAGACUGGGUCCAUACUCCUACGGGAGGCAGCAGUCUGGACUAUUCGGCAAUGGACGCAAGCCUGAUCUCGGCCUACCGCGUAGGUGAAGAUACCGUCAGGGUUGUACAGCUCUUUUGUUGUGAUGGAUAUUUAGUAGGUUCAUACCUUCCUGUUGUGACGGUACCUGGUGAAUAAGCCCCGGCUAACUCCGUG
Molecule: ribosomal RNA, 492 nt
Filed under: uncultured bacterium
Lineage: Bacteria
Description: partial 16S ribosomal RNA
Rfam family: Bacterial small subunit ribosomal RNA
Source: RNAcentral